CAUCCAAUAAUAUGGAUCUAUGGGUGACCAAUCCGGGUGCCCAUCCGAGGUUUUAAACACCAGUAGAGACGCUGGCAAAAAUGAGAACUUUGAUUGGCCCUAAUGUUUUUUAAACACGCAGGAGAAAGAGAGAGUCGGCGUUUGAUAACGCCAAAUGCUUGGAAAGUUUUCUUGAUCUCUACCUUUCUCCCGUUUGGGAAUAGUAGAAAGUGGAAAGUCGGAGAUAACCUUCUUGUGGGCGAGGUUAGAGAUAGAGGGUUUAGGGUUUACUUACCCUGCAUUUUUCUAGAGAGAGAGGGCUAUGACAGUUGGCGAGAUUAAAGGUUACAAAGAAGGAACCCGCUGAUAAGGUAUUGUUUUUCAUUUUUCAUUUGAAAUCUUUUAUAUUCAUACUCAAAUCUGAGAAAUCGAGAACCAUCUUCCAAUUAUUGUUUUCUCGUAUGUUUUUAUUGUUAUUGCUUUGUAAUUUGGCGUUUCCUGAUCAUUUUGGCUGAACCCAUUUCGCUCAUCUUGGGAUCAUGCAUUUUAACUAAGGCUUAACUUAUUGCAUUAAUUUGAUUUUUCCUUCCUAACAUUUCAUGAUUGAAAGCUCCUCAAUCAGGGCUUAUGGUUUAACCCAUUUCUAAUUGACCCCUGAAUAUAUAGUAAAAAAAAAGUAUACAGUAAUCCUAUUACUAUUGUUACCGUCUUUGAUUUAUUAUUAGUAGAAUUUUGUUUCUAUAUACCUGUCUCUGGGGAUAAAACCUGGUUAUUUGGGAAAUUUUUUUAUUAAAACCUGGUUACUUUGGAUUCUCUGCAAAUGAUAUUUUUGUUUUGGAGGAUAGGCAAAUUCCAUCUCCACCCUAUUGAUGAAAUUUUCACUGAUUCAAGCUCCAAUGCUUCUGUUCGUGAUGUUAAUUUGGAACACUCUAAUUACUGUAUUGUCACUGUCAACAUAAUUAUGGCUUAAAUUUUUGCUUAUGUUUGAAGUCGGAUGCUUAAUUUCAGAGCUUUCUUGCAGAGAACUGUAACACACUUCUUGAUGGAUUUUCUUUUGUAUGACAAAUAGGUUUUGAACAUCAACUCUGAACUCUAUGGAGUUAAUUUUGUUGUAAUUGUUGAUGGAAGAAUUGCCUUUACAGUUUGCCAAAUUUGUAGUAAGAUGUUACUAAUUGCUUUCUUUAAGAUGUUUCUUUGUUAAGUUACAUAGAUGUGAGAUUAAAUUCCAAUCUUAACCAUACGUUGUAAGAUUAAUACCAAAAAGUACCUCAAUUUAAAAGUAAUAAUUUUUUAAUGAAUAAAUUUUUUAAAAUAAUAUUAUUUGUAAUUACAAUUAUAGAAUUUAAUUAUAACUGUAACAUUCUAAUAAAAAUAAAUUAUUCUUACUAAUACUUACUUUUUACAAUUAUUGUAGAACCUUUCGUAGUAAGGUUUAUUUAUUUAUUUUUUGAAUUACUUUUUGGG
Molecule: long non-coding RNA, 1443 nt
Filed under: Amborella trichopoda
Lineage: Eukaryota; Viridiplantae; Streptophyta; Magnoliopsida; Amborellales; Amborellaceae
Description: long non-coding RNA (ATRI_LNC001919)
Source: RNAcentral